This is a non-coding RNA of Tinamus guttatus (white-throated tinamou), 99 nucleotides long. The record is from RefSeq and is a predicted model, not a curated record. NCBI's taxonomy places the organism in Eukaryota, Metazoa, Chordata, Aves, Tinamiformes, Tinamidae.
CACACAGGUGUGCCUGCACACUGCCCUAAGGAGCUCCACAAAAGUCUGCAGCUCAGACUGAAAUUCAUGCUUCUUGGGAUACCUGAUGCACUAACAGAG